AACGAACGCUGGCGGCAUGCCUAACACAUGCAAGUCGAACGAGACCUUCGGGUCUAGUGGCGCACGGGUGCGUAACGCGUGGGAACCUGCCCUUAGGUUCGGAAUAACUCCCCGAAAGGGGUGCUAAUACCAGAUAAUGUCUUCGGACCAAAGAUUUAUCGCCUUUGGAUGGGCCCGCGUUGGAUUAGCUAGUUGGUAGGGUAAAAGCCUACCAAGGCGACGAUCCAUAGCUGGUCUGAGAGGAUGAUCAGCCACACUGGGACUGAGACACGGCCCAGACUCCUACGGGAGGCAGCAGUGGGGAAUAUUGGACAAUGGGCGAAAGCCUGAUCCAGCAAUGCCGCGUGAGUGAUGAAGGCCUUAGGGUUGUAAAGCUCUUUUACCCGGGAUGAUAAUGACAGUACCGGGAGAAUAAGCUCCGGCGAACUCCGU
This 432-nucleotide ribosomal RNA is filed under the name uncultured bacterium. RNAcentral describes it as "partial 16S ribosomal RNA". It matches the Rfam family "Bacterial small subunit ribosomal RNA", at positions 29 to 506 of the family's 1533-position model. The record is from RNAcentral.